RNAcentral lists this long non-coding RNA (714 nucleotides) under Medicago truncatula (barrel medic). Its description in RNAcentral is "long non-coding RNA (MTRU_LNC001498)". Lineage: Eukaryota; Viridiplantae; Streptophyta; Magnoliopsida; Fabales; Fabaceae. The record is from RNAcentral.
GGGAAUGUAUGCCUUUUUUUAAUAUAUAAGAUGGAAUGGAACGAAUGCAAAUAAUGUUGCGUAAAAUAAAAUGCCACAUCAUAAAUGUUAAAAAAAUAUUUUUGUGGAAACAAUAAUUGCCACAUCAUAAAUGAUAAAAAAAAACUUUUUUUUUGUUAGCCCUAUGGUUUCCGGCGAAAAGAAAAUUCGAAAUUUGGUCGCGAGGUCAGUAAAAUCUAACAAAGAAUUAUUCUACUCAUGAAUCAAACUCGAAUUCUCUCCCGAACGAUUCGUCCUUUGGUGGAGCUCAUUGACAACAUGAGUUAAAUUGCUUGGUUGUUAGAAAAACAUUUUUGUGGAAACAAUAAAGAUGAUAUCAUAAUUAAAUGAUUGAACUAAAAUGAUUAAUAAACUCUUUAUAAAAUGAAUCGUUCGGAAAAAUUCGAGUUUGAUUCUUAAAAAACAACUCUUAAUUAGAUUUUACUUAUCGGAAAACAACUCUUAAUAAACUCUUAAUAUACAACGUUAAUUGCUAGCUCGCCUUGUCGGUAUGGUAAUCAUCUUAAGGUAUACCCUAGUUGGCACAGGUUCGAGUCCUAGCAAACAGGGUUGUGUUUGGAUUGAAAUGAUCAAUAAAUAUGAGGUAUUAUAAAAUACCUCUCUUUUUUGUUGCAGAGAUUCCAUUACUUAUAUUUUUGACAUGAGAUUCCAGUGUUAGAACUUUAGAAGGGAUGC